This 379-nucleotide ribosomal RNA is filed under the name uncultured bacterium. RNAcentral describes it as "bacterial SSU rRNA". It matches the Rfam family "Bacterial small subunit ribosomal RNA", at positions 30 to 411 of the family's 1533-position model. The record is from RNAcentral.
AUUGAACGCUGGCGGCAUGCCUUACACAUGCAAGUCGAACGGCAGCGGACCUUCGGGUGCCGGCGAGUGGCGAACGGGUGAGUAAUAUAUCGGAACGUACCUUUCAGUGGGGGAUAACGUAGCGAAAGUUACGCUAAUACCGCAUAUUCUGUGAGCAGGAAAGCAGGGGAUCGCAAGACCUUGCGCUGAUUGAGCGGCCGAUAUCAGAUUAGCUAGUUGGUGAGGUAAAGGCUCACCAAGGCGACGAUCUGUAGCGGGUCUGAGAGGAUGAUCCGCCACACUGGAACUGAGACACGGUCCAGACUCCUACGGGAGGCAGCAGUGGGGAAUUUUGGACAAUGGGCGCAAGCCUGAUCCAGCCAUGCCGCGUGAGUGAUGA